RNAcentral lists this long non-coding RNA (448 nucleotides) under Androctonus crassicauda. The record is from RNAcentral. Lineage: Eukaryota; Metazoa; Arthropoda; Arachnida; Scorpiones; Buthidae.
CUGAGCGAAAAGAAAAAUUAUUUUAAAUUUGUAAAUUGAGAAAUUCACUGUUCUAGAAUAGUAAAUUAUUUAUUGUAGCAGCUGACGAUGGCAGAUAGCUGAAAGUGCUUCUGAAAUUAAAGUUCUUUUUCAGAACUUAUUAUAAACAGAGAUAAAGACCACAAAACUAGGAAACUAAGCACCGCAUAUAAGGCACAGAUCACAUACACCAGAAAAUGGAUGGAAGAUAAUUCCAUCAUAUGCACUAAGGAUGACAAGACUAAGAAGAUAGCCCUUGUAAAGAAAGAAGAUUACACAAACCUCCUGCUUUCAUUUGUAGCACAGUCGAACUCAGAAUGGUUACUGCACGAUCUGACGGACACAAUGCAUAACAAAACCAUGAGAAUACUGAAAUGCAAAGACUUCCCAAACAUAUGGAAAGUAAAACAAAUGACGAGUCCACAAGCCC